RNAcentral lists this ribosomal RNA (460 nucleotides) under Blastocystis sp. RNAcentral's name for it is "SSU rRNA". It matches the Rfam family "Eukaryotic small subunit ribosomal RNA", at positions 477 to 953 of the family's 1831-position model. Lineage: Eukaryota; Bigyra; Opalinata; Blastocystidae. The record is from RNAcentral.
ACAAUGCGGAACUUUUAGUUUUGCAAUUGGAUUGAGAACAAUGUACAAAUGUUAUCGAUAAACAAUUGGAGGGCAAGUCUGGUGCCAGCAGCCGCGGUAAUUCCAGCUCCAAUAGCGUAUAUUAACGUUGUUGCAGUUAAAAAGCUCGUAGUUGAAAUGUGGGAUGAAGUAUAUAAUGAAUUUCUAAUUCAAUUCUAUAUUGAUUCCCCUCUCCAAUUUAUUAUUAUGGGUAUUAAUUUAUUUGUAAUAAGAAUUGGUCAUUUACUGUGAGAAAAUUAGAGUGUUCAAAGCAGGCAUUUGCUUGAAUAGAUUAGCAUGGAAUAAUACUAAAAGGCUUUUAUGGUCGAUUUAAUUGGUUUGUUCAUAAAAGCAAGAUUAAAAGGAACAGUUGGGGGUAUUCAUAUUCAAUAGUUAGAGGUGAAAUUCUCGGAUUUAUGGAAGAUGAACAAGUGCGAAAGCA